RNAcentral lists this ribosomal RNA (322 nucleotides) under Salmonella enterica subsp. diarizonae. RNAcentral describes it as "partial 23S ribosomal RNA". It matches the Rfam family "Bacterial large subunit ribosomal RNA", at positions 200 to 560 of the family's 2925-position model. The record is from RNAcentral. Lineage: Bacteria; Pseudomonadati; Pseudomonadota; Gammaproteobacteria; Enterobacterales; Enterobacteriaceae.
AUCUAAGUACCCCGAGGAAAAGAAAUCAACCGAGAUUCCCCCAGUAGCGGCGAGCGAACGGGGAGGAGCCCAGAGCCUGAAUCAGCAUGUGUGUUAGUGGAAGCGUCUGGAAAGGCGCGCGAUACAGGGUGAGAGCCCCGUACACAAAAGCGCAUAUGCUGUGAGCUCGAUGAGUAGGGCGGGACACGUGGUAUCCUGUCUGAAUAUGGGGGGACCAUCCUCCAAGGCUAAAUACUCCUGACUGACCGAUAGUGAACCAGUACCGUGAGGGAAAGGCGAAAAGAACCCCGGCGAGGGGAGUGAAACAGAACCUGAAACCGUG